AAAUACUUGCCAGGGAACUCCAAGUGCAUCGGGUAAGACCGAUGCUUUUCUUGACUCUUCAAAGGUCUUGGAAUAAGGGGUGGGUAAGGACGGUGCCAGCCGCCGCGGUAAUACCGGCGCCCCAAGUGGUAGUCGCUUUUAUUGGGCCUAAAACGUCCGUAGCCGGUCUGGUACAUUCGUGGGUAAAUCAACCAGCUCAACUGGUUGAAUUCUGCGAGCACGGCCAGACUUGGGACCGGGAGAGGUGUGGGGUACUCUCAGGGUAGGGGUAAAAUCCUGUCAUCCUGAGAGGACCACCUGUUGCGAAGGCGCCACACUAGAACGGAUCCGACGGUCAGGGACGAAGCCUAGGGGCACGAACCGGAUUAGAUACCCGGGUAGUCCUAGGUGUAAACGCUGUGGACUUGAUGUUGGGGGCGCUCCGAGCGCACUCAGUGUCGAAGCGAAGGUGAUAAGUCCACUGCCUGGGGAGUACGGUCGCAAGGCUGAAACUUAAAGGAAUUGGCGGGGGAGCACCGCAACCUGAGGAUUGUGCGGUUUAAUUGGAUUCAACGCCGGAAAACUCACCAUAGCCGACGGACAUAUGAAGGCCAGCGU
RNAcentral lists this ribosomal RNA (597 nucleotides) under euryarchaeote SCGC AAA001-B21. Its description in RNAcentral is "SSU rRNA". It matches the Rfam family "Archaeal small subunit ribosomal RNA", at positions 362 to 960 of the family's 1478-position model. The record is from RNAcentral. Lineage: Archaea; Methanobacteriati; Methanobacteriota.